GUGUGUGAUUUCGGAGUGGGAAUGGGCCAAAAAAACUACAAAAAAAGGCACUGAGAUAUUGAAGCAGGUUUUAAUCAGAUUGGUUGUUGCUGGGUUAUUUCUCAAUUACACUGAAAUGUCGCAUAUCAUAAUUUAAAGCCACACUUCGGCUUUUAGUAAGAUCCUUGGAUCUUAAUGACGUCUCUCCAGCUCUUUAAUUUCUCCCUCCUCAACAGCACCCCUGCAGAUAAUAUCUCUGUUCUUUAGACAUAUCUUGUGCAUCUAUUUUUAGUUCUUUUUUAUUUUUCGGUUUCAGUUUCUCAGCUCCAUCUUUUCAGAACUUUUUUCCACACUAAACUCGAGCGCCGGAGCGCGCAGGGAAGGUAGGGGAGGUCCCGGUUGCGUAAAGAUAUUUUAUUGGACGACACAGUGUCGAUAAUGAAAAUGAACGAAUAGGCUGCUCACUCUUCGGGGGCCCUUGAACUGAUCCAUCGCCCUGCCUGUGAAAUUCCCUGUGUGCCAAAUUACCACUCCAGCCCUGGUAACAAAACCGAAGGAGCUCUUCAGACUCACACACCAGACAAACACAAUGUGCAAGUACAGCUUGUCCGUCCGCUCACCUGCAGGUGAGUUGGGGGUUAUCAAAUUAAAUCACUCCAAAAAGCAGCAGAAGACCGUGAAAGACUUGAAGAUGAAAGCAGCGCAACUGUUUCCAAAGAAAGGAUAUCUUAUGGCUGAAUUCCGGCUGAUUGUCUCAGGAAAGCCGCUGGACGAUGACUCUGCAUCUCUGUCGGAGUAUGGGAUCAAACCCUCGUCUGUGGUGCAGAUGGUGGCGAAGGUCCACGGAGGCUGACAGAUAUCAUCAUCGAUGAACUUAACUCCACCCAAAAGAUUCACCUCAGGACUGGAAUGUGAUACACCAAAGGACGCAAUGCAUCAUCUUUGCUAGCUGGGACUGUGUCAUCUUUGAUCUUUGGUUCUCUUCUACACUUUUGUAUCCUCCUUUAGAUUUUAAGACUUUUAUCAUACCUAUAUAGACUUCAGCACUAAUUUAUUAUCACAAGUUGUAAAUGAUGCACAAAUGGGGCAUAAUAACAUUUCUUUUUUUUAUUUCUCUUUUUGUUUCGUUGCUAGCCUGUGUAACUUACUAGUAGUUGAAAUACCAAAAGCUGACAACAAAUGUACGGUUACGCAGCAGCCCCAUGAAUAUCAAUGUUCCUAAAAAAAAGUGAUGAAAUCAUUGGUUAAUAUUUAGUUAUCUUGACUUUCCAGCUGAUUCUCAUAAAUGCUCUGCUUUCAUCUUGUUUAAAAAUAAAUGCAAUGAUUGUUGAAUUUAA
Maylandia zebra (zebra mbuna) is the source of this 1316-nucleotide long non-coding RNA. RefSeq lists it as uncharacterized. The record is from RefSeq and is a predicted model, not a curated record. NCBI's taxonomy places the organism in Eukaryota, Metazoa, Chordata, Actinopteri, Cichliformes, Cichlidae.